CGUGACUGACGCUGAGGAGCGAAAGGGUGGGGAGCAAACAGGCUUAGAUACCCUGGUAGUCCACCCCGUAAACGUUGGGAACUAGUUGUGGGGGCCUUUCCACGGUCUCCGUGACGCAGCUAACGCAUUAAGUUCCCCGCCUGGGGAGUACGGCCGCAAGGCUAAAACUCAAAGGAAUUGACGGGGACCCGCACAAGCGGCGGAGCAUGCGGAUUAAUUCGAUGCAACGCGAAGAACCUUACCAAGGCUUGACAUACACCGGAAACGUCCAGAGAUGGUCGCCCCUUUUUGGUCGGUGUACAGGUGGUGCAUGGUUGUCGUCAGCUCGUGUCGUGAGAUGUUGGGUUAAGUCCCGCAACGAGCGCAACCCUCGUUCUAUGUUGCCAGCACGUUAUGGUGGGAACUCAUGGGAUACUGCCGGGGUCAACUCGGAGGAAGGUGGGGAUGACGUCAAAUCAUCAUGCCCCUUAUGUCUUGGGCUUCACGCAUGCUACAAUGGCCGGUACAAUGGGCUGCGAUACCGUGAGGUGGAGCGAAUCCCAAAAAGCCGGUCCCAGUUCGGAUCGUAGUCUGCAACUCGACUACGUGAAGUCGGAGUCGCUAGUAAUCGCAGAUCAGCAACGCUGCGGUGAAUACGUUCCCGGGUCUUGUACACAC
RNAcentral lists this ribosomal RNA (657 nucleotides) under uncultured bacterium. RNAcentral describes it as "bacterial SSU rRNA". It matches the Rfam family "Bacterial small subunit ribosomal RNA", at positions 735 to 1390 of the family's 1533-position model. The record is from RNAcentral.